RNAcentral lists this ribosomal RNA (273 nucleotides) under uncultured bacterium. Its description in RNAcentral is "partial 16S ribosomal RNA". It matches the Rfam family "Bacterial small subunit ribosomal RNA", at positions 524 to 796 of the family's 1533-position model. The record is from RNAcentral.
UACGUAGGCAGCGAGCGUUGUUCGGAGUUACUGGGCGUAAAGCGUGCGUAGGCGGUUUUCCAAGUCUGGUGUGAAAUCUCCCGGCUCAACUGGGAGGGUGCGCUAGAAACUGGGAGGCUGGAGUGCGGGAGAGGUAGGCGGAAUUCCUGGUGUAGCGGUGAAAUGCGUAGAUAUCAGGAGGAACACCGGUGGUGUAGACGGCCUGCUGGACCGUAACUGACGCUGAGGCACGAAAGCGUGGGGAGCAAACAGGAUUAGAAACCCCCGUAGUCC